UGGGGAAUAUUGGACAAUGGGCGAAAGCCUGAUCCAGCCAUGCCGCGUGAGUGAUGAAGGCCCUAGGGUUGUAAAGCUCUUUCAACGGUGAAGAUAAUGACGGUAACCGUAGAAGAAGCCCCGGCUAACUUCGUGCCAGCAGCCGCGGUAAUACGAAGGGGGCUAGCGUUGUUCGGAAUUACUGGGCGUAAAGCGCACGUAGGCGGAUCGGUCAGUUGGGGGUGAAAUCCCAGGGCUCAACCCUGGAACUGCCUCCAAUACUGCCGGUCUAGAGUUCGAGAGAGGUGAGUGGAAUUCCGAGUGUAGAGGUGAAAUUCGUAGAUAUUCGGAGGAACACCAGUGGCGAAGGCGGCUCACUGGCUCGACACUGACGCUGAGGUGCGAAAGCGUGGGGAGCAAACAGG
This 404-nucleotide ribosomal RNA is filed under the name uncultured bacterium. RNAcentral's name for it is "bacterial SSU rRNA". It matches the Rfam family "Bacterial small subunit ribosomal RNA", at positions 355 to 776 of the family's 1533-position model. The record is from RNAcentral.